This 497-nucleotide ribosomal RNA is filed under the name uncultured bacterium. RNAcentral's name for it is "partial 16S ribosomal RNA". It matches the Rfam family "Bacterial small subunit ribosomal RNA", at positions 28 to 507 of the family's 1533-position model. The record is from RNAcentral.
GAUGAACGCUGGCGGCGUGCCUAAUACAUGCAAGUCGAGCGAACGGACGAGAAGCUUGCUUCUCUGAUGUUAGCGGCGGACGGGUGAGUAACACGUGGAUAACCUACCUAUAAGACUGGGAUAACUUCGGGAAACCGGAGCUAAUACCGGAUAAUAUUUUGAACCGCAUGGUUCAAAAGUGAAAGACGGCCUUGCUGUCACUUUUAGAUGGAUCCGCGCUGCAUUAGCUAGUUGGUAAGGUAACGGCUUACCAAGGCAACGAUGCAUAGCCGACCUGAGAGGGUGAUCGGCCACACUGGAACUGAGACACGGUCCAGACUCCUACGGGAGGCAGCAGUAGGGAAUCUUCCGCAAUGGGCGAAAGCCUGACGGAGCAACGCCGCGUGAGUGAUGAAGGUCUUCGGAUCGUAAAACUCUGUUAUUAGGGAAGAACAUAUGUGUAAGUAACUGUGCACAUCUUGACGGUACCUAAUCAGAAAGCCACGGCUAACUACGUG